This is a small nuclear RNA of 151 nucleotides. Its record names the gene U2. It matches the Rfam family "U2 spliceosomal RNA". From Rfam's summary of the family: U2 is a small nuclear RNA (snRNA) component of the spliceosome (involved in pre-mRNA splicing). Complementary binding between U2 snRNA (in an area lying towards the 5' end but 3' to hairpin I) and the branchpoint sequence (BPS) of the intron results the bulging out of an unpaired adenosine, on the BPS, which initiates a nucleophilic attack at the intronic 5' splice site, thus starting the first of two transesterification reactions that mediate splicing. The record is from Ensembl.
AUCGCUUCUCGGCCUUUUGGCUAAGAUCAAGUGUAGAAGGGGGAGUAUGUAUGUAUAUUAUUUGAAACGCUGUAAGGAAGGCUGGUGUUUUGUCCCCCAUUUACAUAUUUAUUUGAUUAUUUGUAUCAGUAUGGACUCGUGAAUAGUUAUU